Molecule: long non-coding RNA, 2611 nt
Organism: Lates calcarifer (barramundi perch)
Lineage: Eukaryota; Metazoa; Chordata; Actinopteri; Centropomidae
Exons: 5
Source: RefSeq, a predicted model, not a curated record
UGACGCGAGGAAUGGCGAGUGCGAGCGACGGCGCGGGCAGGAGGGGGGGGCGUCGAGAUCCACCUCCGCGGGAAAUAAUGGGGAUGAUAAUAAAACAGGGGGAAAACCCGUCCGAGGGAAGCUGAAUGGAUGGAGCCAGAGAGACGUCACGACCAGCCGCAGCCAUGAAGACCGUGCGGUCCAGCCUCCGGCAGCUCAGUUGGUCUCCAUCUCCCGAGCCGCUCGCUCCUCGGGUUUGAAGAGCGGACGCCGCAGCACACCGGCAGGAGACGGCGGAUCCCUGGAGAGACAUUCAGCGGCCUCACAACACGUGGCUGACUGUAGGUCAGAACUUGGCCCAUGUUACUUCGCCUGCGGCUUGAGAGGAUGGGUAGCCUUAGGGGUUGGUUGUUAUCUUUGGUUAUCUAGCUGUAUGAGUGAUGUACAUUCUUCAUAAAGCUAGAUAACCGAAAGUAACAAGAAUCCCAUUACACUCCUGAAAAGGCAUCAAGACCCCAUGUGCGCCUCUCCCUCCAAAAAAAACACAAACUCUGCCACAAGAACAGCAACGCAAGUCAAGAAAAUGGACGACAUUUGCAAGGACAUGGGAGCUGAAUGCGGCGAAAGGCUACCACCACAAGACCACUGAAGGAAAGCUGGCAAAAGGAGACUGAAAAACAGAGAAGAAGGAGGAGGAGGGGUUGCUGUUGAUUCUGCCCUCCCUCUCUCCUCGCCCUCCUCUGCAUCGCCUCUUCCCUCCUCCUCCUCCUCCCUUCCUCCUCCGCUCCAUCCUCAGCAGACUGCCCCUUUUUCCUGUACAGCAACACGCAGCCCGCGCCACCAUCUUAGAGCAACGCUGGCAUGAAAUGGAAGUGGGAAGACCAGUCAGUGCAGGUGAGUGCUGUCGGUGCAGGGUCAGCGGGACUCCUCCUUCAGCGGCCGUUUGCCACCUUUCAGCUGGGAGUAAACAAAGACGAUGACAAUGGGCGCACACGACUCGCGUGACUUUGGAGCGCUGCCCUACUGUUUGCACGUCUGCUGCUGCUGCUGCGUGAUGCAGUGUUUGACCCAACGGUCGAGAUGGAUUGUGACUGCAAACAUCGUGGUGGACUGUGACUGCGGGAAACAAGGUUCGGACAGAAGAACUCAGCAGCUGGAGUCGCGGAUGAACCGGUCCAUAAAUGUGACUGUUGUAUUUCUGAGGGUGUGACACUGAAUUUUGUAAUUCUUAUAUAUUUGCUUAAAAAUAAUAUUAGUUAAACACUAAAGAAUGUUUCUAACUAAUCUAGGCUCCAUUUUCUGUAGGUAGUAUUGGACGAGCUGUAGCCCGCGUUGUGUUUGAUUUGUUUUGUUAUAGUUGCUAGGACUCAAAGACACGUGAAUGUGAGACCCACGGCAGCAGUGAAUAAUACUGCACUGCGAUUGGACAGCUCCAUGUGUCGGCUGACACAGUGGCGAAGGAGUGAGCUGUCGUCUUUAUACUCUAUGCAACUGUUUUAUCUUUUUUUGUUUUGUUUUUUUUCCAUCUUGAAUCCCAGUUGGGCAGAGCCCCUUUUAUCCUUUUUCUUUCUGGGCUACCAGUUUAUAGACAUUCCUUCAAACGUCAUGAAGAGAAAUGUUUUUUUAGGAGCCUACAUUCCCAUUGUUAAUAUGCUGAUAGAGUGUGUGUGAGUGUGUGACAGAUGACAGAAUAUAGCUCAGUUUCAUCAGUGAAUGUAUUGAAUCUCAUAUUUGCAGCCUCAACACACUUUGAUUUGCCUGUGCAGCCAUAAGCCACAGUCUGAGUAAAUGUGGACUCACACAUUUAAUAUUCCUGAUGGCAGAAGUGUAUUUGAUCAGCAGGAAGUAGCUGAGCAGGGCUCAUGGCUGUGUGUGUACAGAACACGCCACACUAUUAAAACCUUCCCAGCAGGCUUUGAGACGCAGCAGUUUGGUUCAUAGCCGUUACCUGCUUCACUGUAAUGAUACAUCUUUGGGUGAGACAUGACAAAUACAUUGGCUUCAAACACUGCCUUAAUUUCCUGUCCUUGACAUUAACAUACACACACACACACACCCAAAUGCAAUAAAGCAAGUACUAUCACAGCCUAAUUCAUUCUAUAUUAAUUUUCAGGAAGUGGCAAAUUUUUUAUUACGAUUGAUAAUCUAUGCAAAUCUUUUAAAUAUUACUUUAAACAAUCUAUGUCUAUGCAGUGCUUUUGCAAUUGAUUCAAGGGAGACUAUCUUGGUCUAAUUUAGAAAAUGUAUUCUUUUGAUAAUCAUGCACAUCCCAGUGCUCAAGACAAUUACUUAUCUGCCUGGAUAAGCUUGAAAUUAUGUUUUUAAUCUCUUGCAAAAAAAAAAAAAAAAAAAAAAAAAAAGUCACUCUUCUGAUAUCAGUCCAGUGGCAUGAAAACCAUGAAUUGUGGUCUAAAAUCAUUAAAUGGGUUGCACUAAAUCUCUUUUUCCUUAAAUGCAGAUCAAACAUAUCUAUUCAGCUGUGCUCUGUAUGUCAUAGCUUAUUGUUUUAUAUAAGCAGCAAUGUUUGUGUUAUGCAAUCUAAUCGCUGUGAAUGAGUAUUCACCACAUGUGCCUUUCUGUGGAAAACUGUGUUGGAAUAGUAAUAAAGGUUUACAUUGAAAACAGUGGUAAA